Molecule: ribosomal RNA, 174 nt
Filed under: uncultured bacterium
Lineage: Bacteria
Description: partial 16S ribosomal RNA
Rfam family: Bacterial small subunit ribosomal RNA
Source: RNAcentral
AUCGUACGGGAGGCAGCAUGGGGAAUAUUGGACAAUGGGGGAAACCCUGAUCCAGCGACGCCGCGUGAGUGAAGAAGUAUUUCGGUAUGUAAAGCUCUAUCAGCAGGAAAGAAAAUGACGGUACCUGACUAAGAAGCCCCGGCUAACUACGUGCCAGCAGCCGCGGUAAUCGAU